AUACGGAGGGUGCAAGCGUUAUGCGGAAUCAUUGGGUUUAAAGGGUCCGUAGGCGGACUAUUAAGUCAGAGGUGAAAUCCCACAGCUCAACUGUGGAACUGCCUUUGAUACUGGUAGUCUUGAGUUAUAUGGAAGUAGAUAGAAUGUGUAGUGUAGCGGUGAAAUGCAUAGAUAUUACACAGAAUACCGAUUGCGAAGGCAGUCUACUACGUAUAUACUGACGCUAAGGGACGAAAGCGUGGGGAGCGAACAGGAUUAGAAACCCUAGUAGUCC
This 274-nucleotide ribosomal RNA is filed under the name uncultured bacterium. RNAcentral's name for it is "partial 16S ribosomal RNA". It matches the Rfam family "Bacterial small subunit ribosomal RNA", at positions 523 to 796 of the family's 1533-position model. The record is from RNAcentral.